This 923-nucleotide ribosomal RNA is filed under the name Calepitrimerus pilosus. RNAcentral's name for it is "eukaryotic LSU rRNA". It matches the Rfam family "Eukaryotic large subunit ribosomal RNA", at positions 366 to 944 of the family's 3401-position model. The record is from RNAcentral. Lineage: Eukaryota; Metazoa; Arthropoda; Arachnida; Trombidiformes; Eriophyidae.
AAAUAGAACUUUGCAGAGAGAGUUAAGAGGGCGUGAACCGUUAUUGGCAAACGAAUCGGAGCCACGAAGUCGUUUCGUUGUAGUUGGGCUCGGUUCAGCCUAGGAGGACCCCUUCCUAGGUGUACUCUGAGCCUGGCCACUUUGUAAGCGUACACUGCAACCAGUUAGACGAUUGGAGAUGGGCCCAGUUGCGGAGGCUUGUUUCGGCAGGUCACUGUAGCGAUCGGCUUGUCUACCAGGGUUAGUAGUAGUGAGGCAGGAUUUAUCCUGUGUUGCUGCUGGGCUCUGGUGGGUGAACUAUCACCAAAGACUGACUGGCAAAAUGAAAAUCGCCUCGCGGCGUUUCCUUAGAAAGCGGUGCUUGCAUCGGCGUUUACACAUCUGACCAUGGGGUUUAAGCUCAGCAUUCUUGAAUUUGGACUUGCUGGCUACCAGUGGGGCAACUCCUGGUGCCAGUGUAGCUUCCAUCUAAUCGGGUGUUGACUUGAUUCUAUGUUGUUCAGGUGUGCUACGAUAGAGCGUCAAUGUAAUGUGACUCGCAAUCUUAUUGGCAGUGAGUAGGUCGGCUUUCCGAACGACCCGUCUUGAAACACGGACCAAGGAGUCUAAUUAGGCAUCAGUCGAUCGGUCUUGAUAGGCCAGACUGUGGAUUCGUUCCAUAAAUUGAAGGCGUAGAGAAAUCAAAUCAUGUGAUCGCUUGGGCAAUACCAGCUCUUGCGCGCAACAUGUGCCUGUUCGUAUAGCAAUGUUAGCAAUAACUUGCUGGGCGGAGCAAAGAGAUGCCUGAUUGGUACCCGAAAGAUGGUGAACUAUGCUUGGGCAAAUUGAAGCCAGAGGAAACUCUGGUGGAGGAUUGUAGCGAUUCUGACGUGCAAAUCGAUCGUCAGACCUGAGUAUAGGGGCGAAAGACUAAUCGAACCAUC